Molecule: ribosomal RNA, 995 nt
Filed under: uncultured Corynebacterium sp.
Lineage: Bacteria; Bacillati; Actinomycetota; Actinomycetes; Mycobacteriales; Corynebacteriaceae
Description: bacterial SSU rRNA
Rfam family: Bacterial small subunit ribosomal RNA
Source: RNAcentral
GUGCCAGCAGCCGCGGUAAUACGUAGGGUGCGAGCGUUGUCCGGAAUUACUGGGCGUAAAGAGCUCGUAGGUGGUUUGUCGCGUCGUCUGUGAAAUUCCGGGGCUUAACUCCGGGCGUGCAGGCGAUACGGGCUGACUUGAGUGCUGUAGGGGAGACUGGAAUUCCUGGUGUAGCGGUGAAAUGCGCAGAUAUCAGGAGGAACACCGAUGGCGAAGGCAGGUCUCUGGGCAGUAACUGACGCUGAGGAGCGAAAGCAUGGGGAGCGAACAGGAUUAGAUACCCUGGUAGUCCAUGCCGUAAACGUUGGGCGCUAGAUGUGGGGACCUUUCCACGGUUUCCGUGUCGUAGCUAACGCAUUAAGCGCCCCGCCUGGGGAGUACGGCCGCAAGGCUAAAACUCAAAGGAAUUGACGGGGGCCCGCACAAGCGGCGGAGCAUGUGGAUUAAUUCGAUGCAACGCGAAGAACCUUACCUGGGCUUGACAUACACCGGAUCGCUGCAGAGAUGUAGUUUCCCUUGUGGCUGGUGUACAGGUGGUGCAUGGUUGUCGUCAGCUCGUGUCGUGAGAUGUUGGGUUAAGUCCCGCAACGAGCGCAACCCUUGUCUUGUGUUGCCAGCACGUUAUGGUGGGGACUCGCGAGAGACUGCCGGGGUUAACUCGGAGGAAGGUGGGGAUGACGUCAAAUCAUCAUGCCCCUUAUGUCCAGGGCUUCACACAUGCUACAAUGGUCGGUACAGUGGGUUGCGAUACCGUGAGGUGGAGCUAAUCCCUUAAAGCCGGUCUCAGUUCGGAUUGGAGUCUGCAACUCGACUCCAUGAAGUCGGAGUCGCUAGUAAUCGCAGAUCAGCAACGCUGCGGUGAAUACGUUCCCGGGCCUUGUACACACCGCCCGUCAAGUCAUGAAAGUCGGUAACACCCGAAGCCGGUGGCCUAACCUUUUGGAGGGAGCCGUCGAAGGUGGGAUCGGUGAUUGGGACGAAGUCGUAACAAGGUA